GACGAACGCUGGCGGCGUGCUUAACACAUGCAAGUUGAACGCUGAAGCAUCUUCGGGUGUGGAUGAGUGGCGAACGGGUGAGUAACACGUGGGUAACCUGCCCUGUACUUUGGGAUAAGCCUGGGAAACUGGGUCUAAUACCGGAUAGGACUGCGCAUCGCAUGGUGUGCGGUGGAAAGUUCCGGCGGUAUGGGAUGGGCCCGCGGCCUAUCAGCUUGAUGGUGGGGUGAUGGCCUACCAUGGCGAUGACGGGUAGCCGGCCUGAGAGGGCGACCGG
Molecule: ribosomal RNA, 277 nt
Filed under: uncultured bacterium
Lineage: Bacteria
Description: partial 16S ribosomal RNA
Rfam family: Bacterial small subunit ribosomal RNA
Source: RNAcentral